RNAcentral lists this ribosomal RNA (145 nucleotides) under uncultured bacterium. RNAcentral's name for it is "partial 16S ribosomal RNA". It matches the Rfam family "Bacterial small subunit ribosomal RNA", at positions 331 to 486 of the family's 1533-position model. The record is from RNAcentral.
CAAGCACUCUACGGAGGCAGCAGUGGGGAAUUUUGGACAAUGGGCGCAAGCCUGAUCCAGCCAUGCCGCGUGUCUGUAUAAGGCUUCGGGUUGUAAAGACUUGUGUCCGGGAGCAAAUGCCUUGGUGUUAAUAGCAUCGGAUCUA